Molecule: long non-coding RNA, 1408 nt
Filed under: Pelobates cultripes (western spadefoot toad)
Lineage: Eukaryota; Metazoa; Chordata; Amphibia; Anura; Pelobatidae
Source: RNAcentral
CAACAUUUCAGCUUCCACCUUGUUCCAAAUUUUAGCACAUCUUACUGAAGUACUAAGCUCAUAAUCACCAAUUCAUUUCAAACCAUAUAACUCAUACUCAGCAUCCAAUGUAAUAUUACACGUCAUCUCACAAAGCAAUAUUUUUGUAAAAACACAUAAUGGGUACCCAGCAGAUAUGCCAAUACAGAAAUCACAUUUAUGGGCACACAACUACACACUCUGUCUCCCUCCUAGGAAACACGGAUAGACACAAUAUAAAAGCAAUCUUAAACUAACACCUCCAAAUCUCCAACUAUUCUUGGCCAAAACGCUAGUAUUCAACAACUAAUAAAACAGUUAUUUGCUAGGUUAUUUGGCUGUCAUUCUUAUCAGUAUCACUAGACUGUGACAAACUGAUUCACAUAUAAUUUAAAACAAUACAGCAACAUAUAAAUUAAACCACUUUCAAGUUAAACUGCACACUUCACACAUUAUCACAAUCACCAUUUACACAAAAUAAACAGUUAACAGCUGUAUUCAGAACAUAUUAUUGGAAGGUAUACCAAUUUUAGUUUAGAUUUAUUUUAGGGAUUCUUAUGUGUACAUUUUCUUAAUUAACUUCAUUACUUUAAUCUACUAUAGUAUUGUAUUUAAAGAAAGGAUCCAUUUAUAUAGCGCGCUCAUAACUCAACUAUUUGUAUAAAACUUCCAUUAACUAAUCUGAGAUGAUGCUGCAUCAACUUAAAUCUUACAGAAAUUGAACAAACAUCUGGACCAGAUUAAACAGACAUGGUUUCACCUGAAUCUUUCAGAACUCUCAGAGACUUAAAAAUUUAUACUAUACCAUGUUUUAACGGCAUGGCAAACCUUUAGACCGGUCAGUCUCCAAGAGCCCUUAGUAACACAGGUAAAAACCUUUGUCCAUGAUGUCUGAUUCAGGCUAUAUACCACAAUUUAAAAUAUCACAUAAUGUGAGACAUAGAAGACACAAGCAGUAGUUAUUACACUGGAUCAUUUAAAAGGAACCUGUUGCAAUAAAAAGGUUAGUUUACAGUGCAAAAUAAAGCAUGUGUUGGACCGCUGAAAAUGUAAAUGUUGCUCUGUUAUUUUCAAACAUAAAUUAUAUUUACAGUAUGGAUCCUUUGCAACAAACACACAGGGCAGGGAAGAUGUGCUGAUUGGUGUUUCUAUACAAUUAAUCCCAUAUGGGGAAUUAACUUUCAAAUACUAAUGAAGUGACUUUUUGUCUCAGUUAUAAAAUAUACUGAGCUCAUCAUGCAAACAAUGUAACACAUUUACACUAUCCCACUCUCAUAAUAAGUGUAGUGGGCUUAUAGUAUUUUUAAAGCAACAAUCAUUCCAGGCACACAGUUCCCAUGUGAAAUAACUUACAAUAAAACAGAGUAAUAAACUUAUACUUCUAUGCGAC